AACGAACGCUGGCGGCAGGCUUAACACAUGCAAGUCGAACGGAUCCUUCGGGAUUAGUGGCAGACGGGUGAGUAACGCGUGGGAACGUACCCUUUGCUACGGAAUAACUCAGGGAAACUUGAGCUAAUACCGUAUGUGCCCUACGGGGGAAAGAUUUAUCGGCCAAGGAUCGGCCCGCGUUGGAUUAGCUAGUUGGUGGGGUAAUGGCCUACCAAGGCGACGAUCCAUAGCUGGUCUGAGAGGAUGAUCAGCCACACUGGGACUGAGACACGGCCCAGACUCCUACGGGAGGCAGCAGUGGGGAAUAUUGGAAAAUGGGCGCAAGCCUGAUCCAGCCAUGCCGCGUGAGUGAUGAAGGUCUUAGGAUUGUAAAGCUCUUUCACCGGUGAAGAUAAUGACGGUAGCCGGAGAAGAAGCCCCGGCUAACUUCGUG
RNAcentral lists this ribosomal RNA (433 nucleotides) under uncultured bacterium. Its description in RNAcentral is "partial 16S ribosomal RNA". It matches the Rfam family "Bacterial small subunit ribosomal RNA", at positions 29 to 507 of the family's 1533-position model. The record is from RNAcentral.